Molecule: non-coding RNA, 150 nt
Organism: Yarrowia lipolytica CLIB122
Lineage: Eukaryota; Fungi; Ascomycota; Dipodascomycetes; Dipodascales
Source: RefSeq, a predicted model, not a curated record
AUACUUACCUUAGGCAAAUUUCUGGCGAUCAAGUCGGCCAGGAUUUCGGACUAGAGGUUGGCAUUGCACAGCGCCGACGUUCUGGACUGUCGUCUACGGACGGGGCCUAUAAUUUUUGAUUUCUUCCCUUCCGAAAAUUUAUUUGGAAGG